Molecule: long non-coding RNA, 2348 nt
Organism: Dreissena polymorpha
Lineage: Eukaryota; Metazoa; Mollusca; Bivalvia; Myida; Dreissenidae
Exons: 3
Source: RefSeq, a predicted model, not a curated record
UAAGUUCCUCACUGUACGGUCUCUAACUACCGUUUCGCGGAGUUUGUCAAAACAAGAGCAACUUGUUUGCCAUUAAUAAUAGUUUUACUUUGAACUUUAAUACAUGUAAAAAUAUAUUAUUGAAUCAAAAUUGUUAAGCAUUGGCUACGACAUAGUUUUUAUUGUUUACAUAUUCAUGCGAGAACAAGUUGCUCACUUGACGGUCUCUAACUACCGUUUCGCGGAUUUUGUCAAAACAAUAACAAUUUGUUUGCCAUUAACUUUGAACUAUAAUCUAAACCCCUCAAAAAAUAAGUCAGUGGAACUUUAAUUUUCCGUAUUUUCUCUUGAUUUUUACAUGGUUUAAAUUAACAUCAGCUUUAAUAACAAUGAAUACAGUAGGGCACAGUCGACAGUGACAAUUUUCGGAUAAACUUCCUGGUUUUUGUCAAAGGGACAGAACCUACUACCUGGUAGUUUCAAUGAUGAACUAUCAUAAUAUAGGGCUAAAAAAUGGAUGUGCCAAAUCCACCUCAUGAAAAACAGAGUGGGCAAAAGUGGAGUGAGAACACUAAAUGAUGUGCUGCUAAAUAGCAGAUCUUUACAAGUGAAUUUGGCAAAUCCUGAUGCAACCUGAGCUUACCAAGUUUACUGACAGUUUGGACUCUGUGUGGAUGAUAAUAUGGACAAUAUAUUGUGUUCAUGUUGUGUUGUGAUUGACAUUUUUUAACAGAUAAGAUUUUUUAAUCCAGACUUAACAGGUGAUUUUCUUCAAAGAAUAAAUACAAUACGUUUUUAUUGAUGUGCAUGAAUUUGAGUACAAAAUAUCAACAAUGUGUAUCUUGUGUUAUUUUUCCAAUCAGUCUGUCAUCCAUAGGUAAUAUAUUAAGUAUGAGAAGGGAAUAUUUUUUUUACAUUUUUGUUGUUUCUGCACACCAUGUCAGAUACAUGAAAAUAUAUUGUAUGCCCCCAACGGGCGGCAUAUAGUUUUCGCACUGUCCGUCUGUCAGUCUUUCUGUCCUCGGUAACACUUGUCGUGUUCACUCUCUAAUUCAAGUAGUUCUUAUCCGAUCUCCAAACUUGGUCAGAAGUUGCAUCCGGAUAAUGUCAAGGUCAAGACGAGCAUGGGUCAUGCCGGGCCAAAAACUAUGUCAUAGGGUCACUUAAGUGCGUUUCAAACAUUCAACAUGGUGUCCGCUCUCUAAUUCAAGUAGUUUUCAUCCGAUCUUUCCCAAACUUUGUCAGAAGUUGUAUCUACAUAAUGUCUACGCCAGGUGUGAACAUGGGGCAUGCCAGGCAAAAAACUAGUUUACUGGGUCACUUAGUGCGUUUUAAACAUUCAGCUUGGUGUCCGCUCUCUAAUUCAAGUAGUUUUCAUCUGAUCUUCACCAAACUUGUUCACAGGUUUUAUCUAGAUGGUCUCUAGGCCAAGUUCGAACAUGCAUGCAAAGAAUUGGCAGAAAAAACAUCUACAAACUGCAGCAGAUGACAUAUGUAACAAACAAAAUUUAAAUAUCGAACACCUGUUAUGUAGCAAACUAAUAGUUAACUAAAAUAAAGGCGAUGUAUAUCUCAAAAACAUGUACACACUUAUGCUUUUAUGUAGUGACAAAGUUACAGUUGGGGCAUCCGUGUCGUGUGGACACAUUUAUUUGAUUAAUGAUAAACUACUCAUUCAUAGUGAUCUAACUAUAAAAUAUUCUUUACACGAUAAGAAAUACAUUGUAGUGUAUGCCUGCUAAUAUUGUGGUCUUAAAAUAAUAUCACUUAUACUGUUGUAGUUCAUUUAAACAUCAAGAUAUGUGAUGUUAACUUAUGUGUUCAUGUUAUGCUUGUAUUUGAUUUAUUUUUACAUGUAAAUGAAUAUUUUGGUGUUUAAAGUUCAAUCUAUAUUGAGUUAAUUAGUGACGUGUGCCAUUAAAUAUGUAGUGCUUAUUGCUUUAAUUUUGUUUUAGUUUUCAUGUUUUGAAUCUCUACGUAUGAAAUGCACUAGUGAAUUUGGUUUGACACUUAUGCGAAGAUUAAUAAUAUAUUAACUUCAAAUACAUUGUUGAUCACAAACAGCAUGUAUAUGCAAUCCACAUAUUACUGUUUCCAUAGCAACUGUUAACUUUAUGUAUUUUGUCUACUAAAUUUUAUCAAUCAUGGAACAAAAUUGAAUUGCUAAAUAAACAAAAUAAUGUCCGGCAGUACAGACACACAACACAAAUUGUAUCAUGAGGAGUUAUUCGUUUCAGUUUUAAGAUAAUAGCUGUACAAAAUGUUCAAUUUCUGAAUACACACCUUUUUCCAGAAAAUGUGCAUAUAUUUAUGUAUAUAAUAAACAUGUUAAUGAUGUCACAUAUCUGUCCAGAACAUAUUUUGUUGAU